Molecule: ribosomal RNA, 253 nt
Filed under: uncultured bacterium
Lineage: Bacteria
Description: partial 16S ribosomal RNA
Rfam family: Bacterial small subunit ribosomal RNA
Source: RNAcentral
UACGUAGGGGGCAAGCGUUGUCCGGAAUCAUUGGGCGUAAAGAGCGUGUAGGCGGCUCGGUAAGUCCGCUGUGAAAGUCCAGGGCUCAACCCUGGAAUGCCGGUGGAAACUGUCGAGCUAGAGUCCGGAAGAGGCGAGUGGAAUUCCUGGUGUAGCGGUGAAAUGCGCAGAUAUCAGGAGGAACACCGGUGGCGAAGGCGGGUCUCUGGGCCGUAACUGACGCUGAGGAGCGAAAGCGUGGGGAGCGAACAGG